RNAcentral lists this transfer RNA (69 nucleotides) under Oecetis caucula. Its description in RNAcentral is "tRNA-Gln". The record is from RNAcentral. Lineage: Eukaryota; Metazoa; Arthropoda; Insecta; Trichoptera; Leptoceridae.
UAUAUUAAAGUGUAUGAUGCAUUAAAAUUUUUGAAAUUUUAGGGUUUAGUUUAAUUCUAUGUAAUAUAA